Molecule: ribosomal RNA, 270 nt
Filed under: uncultured archaeon
Lineage: Archaea
Description: partial 16S ribosomal RNA
Rfam family: Archaeal small subunit ribosomal RNA
Source: RNAcentral
CAGCGCCACGAGUGGCAAUCAUUUUUAUUGGGCCUAAAACGUCCGUAGCCGGUUUAGUAAAUGCCUGGGUAAAUCGUGUAGCUUAACUAUACGACUUCCGGGUAGACUGCUAAACUUGAGACCGGGAGAGGCUAGAGGUACUCCUGGGGUAGAGGUGAAAUUCUGUAAUCCUAGGGGGACCACCAGUGGCGAAGGCGUCUAGCUAGAACGGGUCUGACGGUGAGGGACGAAGCCCUGGGGCACAAACCGGAUUAGAUACCCGAGUAGUCC